Molecule: ribosomal RNA, 729 nt
Filed under: uncultured Glomeromycotina
Lineage: Eukaryota; Fungi; Glomeromycota
Description: SSU rRNA
Rfam family: Eukaryotic small subunit ribosomal RNA
Source: RNAcentral
GGGCACGACACCGGAGAGGGAGCCUGAGAAACGGCUACCACAUCCAAGGAUGGCAGCAGGCGCGCAAAUUACCCAAUCCCGACACGGGGAGGUAGUGACAAUAAAUAACAAUACGGGGUUCUUUAGGAUCUCGUAAUUGGAAUGAGUACAAUUUAAAUCUCUUAACGAGGAACAAUUGGAGGGCAAGUCUGGUGCCAGCAGCCGCGGUAAUUCCAGCUCCAAUAGCGUAUAUUAAAGUUGUUGCAGUUAAAAAGCUCGUAGUUGAAUUUCGGGGUUAGUAGGUUGGUCAUGCCUCUGGUAUGUACUGGUCUCACUGAUUCCUCCUUCCUGAUGAACCGUAAUGCCAUUAAUUUGGUGUUGCGGGGAAUUUGGACUGUUACUUUGAAAAAAUUAGAGUGUUUAAAGCAAGCUAACGCUUGAAUACAUUAGCAUGGAAUAAUGAAAUAGGACGUUCGAUCCUAUUUUGUUGGUUUCUAGGAUUGACGUAAUGAUUAAUAGGGAUAGUUGGGGGCAUUAGUAUUCAAUUGUCAGAGGUGAAAUUCUUGGAUUUAUUGAAGACUAACUACUGCGAAAGCAUUUGCCAAGGAUGUUUUCAUUAAUCAAGAACGAAAGUUAGGGGAUCGAAGACGAUCAGAUACCGUCGUAGUCUUAACCAUAAACUAUGCCGACUAGGGAUCGGAUGAUGUUAAUUUUUUAAUGACUCAUUCGGCGCCUUACGGGAAACCAAAG